This is a long non-coding RNA of Drosophila miranda, 1002 nucleotides long. RefSeq lists it as uncharacterized. NCBI's taxonomy places the organism in Eukaryota, Metazoa, Arthropoda, Insecta, Diptera, Drosophilidae. The transcript has 6 exons. The record is from RefSeq and is a predicted model, not a curated record.
UAUAUUUCUGAGGGUCAGACCGUAUAUGUUCUCUAUAACUCCGCGGUCACUGGCUUCCGGUCACUUUUACUUCACCCACGUGCGAGAUUGUUCGUGAAAAAUGUGAUCUUGUAUGUAUGGGAUGCUGCGACAGUGCGCAUGGCAAUUGAGAAUGGAUACAAAAUGGAAGUCUUGAUAUCCCGACCACGUGUUCAACGUCUGAUGUUCUAAAUGGUUAUCGGUGGAUAUCUAUUGAAUGAUGAUGCUGUGCUCAAUGCAUGUACUCUGCCGGUAAUUUACACGUGUAUAAAAACAUGUGAAUAUACAUGAUCUAAAUGGUCUUUUGGUUUUGUGGCAAAAGGAGCAGUAUGGAAAUUAAUACAUGUGGUUGAACAUUUUAUACUCGAGCUGCACAUUUAUUUGCUUUGCUGAUGUCAAAACUGAGACACAUUCAUUAAUUAGGUAUCGUGAAUGCUGUGGUAAUGCAGCUGAAGUUGCGAAAGCCAUUAAUCGACCAUAUCCAUGUUCAUGCCGUCCCCCUUCUUGACGACAUCGUCUUGCUGUUCGUCUUGCACCUCUUUGCGGUCAGCAAGGUCCACGGUUUUCAAUUUAUGCUCGAUCUCUAGUAGAUCAUCGUCCAUGUCAUUUUGCACUGAAGUUUUAAUUAUUUCGGGGACGAUCCGGAUACUCCCCGGUUUAUUUUCAUUAAUUAUCUUCUCCUUAAGUUUCCUUAGUUCGUCUCUAGAGCAGCAAACGCAAACCGGAGUCAUCUUGAAAAUGCCUCUGCGAUACAGAACGCCGGGCUUCGCAAUGUUCAUGUUUAUGUUCACAGUCUUUUGUAUUAAUUUACGAAUACAACAUUUUUUUUUCGGACGUAAAUUAGACAUUGCUGUUUCCUUCGCCGCGCUUCCGUCAAGAGUUAGGUUCGACACGGCUAACUCUAGCGUCCCACGUGCCUAUCCACCACCAAUAUAUGCACAUAGCCCAAUAAAUGCUAAUAAAUGACAUUUCAAAUAUUAAAAA